UACGGAGGGUGCAAGCGUUAAUCGGAAUUACUGGGCGUAAAGCGUGCGCAGGCGGUUUGUUAAGUCCGUUGUGAAAGCCCAGAGCUCAACUUGGGAAUUGCAGUGGAUACUGGCAGGCUGGAGUACGGUAGAGGAAGGUGGAAUUCCCGGUGUAGCAGUGAAAUGCGUAGAUAUCGGGAGGAACACCAGUGGCGAAGGCGGCCUUCUGGACCAGUACUGACGCUCAUGCACGAAAGCGUGGGGAGCAAACAGG
This 253-nucleotide ribosomal RNA is filed under the name uncultured bacterium. RNAcentral's name for it is "partial 16S ribosomal RNA". It matches the Rfam family "Bacterial small subunit ribosomal RNA", at positions 524 to 776 of the family's 1533-position model. The record is from RNAcentral.